RNAcentral lists this ribosomal RNA (253 nucleotides) under uncultured bacterium. RNAcentral describes it as "partial 16S ribosomal RNA". It matches the Rfam family "Bacterial small subunit ribosomal RNA", at positions 524 to 776 of the family's 1533-position model. The record is from RNAcentral.
UACGAAGGGGGCUAGCGUUGUUCGGAAUUACUGGGCGUAAAGGGCGCGUAGGCGGUGUGUCAAGUCAGGCGUGAAAGCCCCGGGCUCAACCUGGGAACAGCGCUUGAGACUGGCACGCUCGAGUUCGGGAGAGGAUGGUGGAAUUCCCAGUUUAGAGGUGAAAUUCGUAGAUAUUGGGAAGAACACCGAUGGCGAAGGCAGCCAUCUGGACCGACACUGACGCUGAGGCGCGAAAGCGUGGGGAGCAAACAGG